UCAGACAGCGACUCAGACUCAGAUAGCGAUUCAGAUUCAGACAGCGACUCAGAUUCAGACAGCGAUUCAGAUUCAGACAGCGACUCAGAUUCAGAUAGCGACUCAGACUCAGACAGCGAUUCAGACUCAGAUAGCGACUCAGAUUCAGACAGCGA
Molecule: small RNA, 155 nt
Filed under: Staphylococcus aureus
Lineage: Bacteria; Bacillati; Bacillota; Bacilli; Caryophanales; Staphylococcaceae
Description: HMPRFS0000_0612
Source: RNAcentral